This 2404-nucleotide long non-coding RNA is filed under the name Homo sapiens (human). Its description in RNAcentral is "HSALNT0374484". Lineage: Eukaryota; Metazoa; Chordata; Mammalia; Primates; Hominidae. The record is from RNAcentral.
UCAAAUGGAGAUUCAUAAAUUAGAUAAAGGAGGACUUGGUAGGCACAAGUGAGCUGAGUUUCAGACAAGUAGCCUUUAUGGUACUUGUGUGUUUAGGAGCUACAUAUCUGAUCUGAACUCAAUACAGAAUUUGGGAGCUAUGGUAAACUGAAUAAUGGCACCCCAAAAAUGUCCAUGUACUAAUCCCCAGACCCUGUCAAUAUGUUUCCUUACAUUGCAAAAAGAUAUUGUAUAAGUGAUUAAGUUGAAGAUAUUGAGUUGUGAGAUCAUGUUGGAUUGUCUGGGUGUGCCCAAUGUAAUCAUGGGGAUCCUUAAAAGGACACAAAUAUCAGAGAUUAGAAGGAAGGCAAUGUGAUGACAAUGGCAGAGACUGGAAUGGUAGGAACACAAGCCAAAAAAUGAUGAUGCUAUGAGUCGUUCAAAGAUAGGAACAGAUUCUCCCUGGAGCUUUCAGAAGGGACUAGCUUAUGGACACCUUGAUUUUAUUCCCACAAGACUAAUUUUGGACUUCUGGCUUCCAGAUCUGUAAAAUAAUAUAUUUGUGUUGUUUUAAGCAACUGUUUUAUGGUAAUGUGUUUCAGCAAUAAUACAAAUCUAGUAUAGGGAAAAAAAUGAGUUUGGUCAUUACAUUUGAUUAUAUGGACAAGAUAAACACAUAGCAUUAUAAGAGAACUACAGAUGUUUAGUCAAUGAUGAAACUUCUUAAUUAAUUAAUUUUUGAGGGGUUCUUAAAGUAUUUCUUUAACAUUGAUUAAUUAAAUUUAUAAUAACUACACAGUGUGUGUAUUGACUAUAAUAUUUAAUCUAACACAACUCUUUACAAACAAUGAUGACAACUUUUUUAUAUUUUAAUUGUGUCUGCAUCUAUCAGAGCUCUGAAUCCAACUUAAGUCUCCUUUUCUUGACUCAUUAUUACACAAUUUAUUGUUUUGUUCUAAAGAGUUGCAGAUAACACUUUGUUUGGACCAUAAGAUACUAAUAUAUAAAAGGAGGAACAUUUAUACAUAGCUGUUCAAAUUGCAUGUCUAGAUUUGAUAUCCUGAGAAAAAUGUACAACUUUAAUUAAAAAUGUGUGAAAUUUCACAUUCAAAGAAAUCAUUAAGAGACGUGAUAGCUAAGUGCAAUACUCCAUCAUAGGCUGGAUACUUUCAGAGUGACUAACUGUUAUGUUUUAUCUUGGACUGAUAGGUUUCCAGGGACACGGGACUUUCAGUGCUAAAACAUGGACAGUCAAUCAGACUGCUCAUACUGGUUCUGGAACACACACACACACACACGCACACACACACACUCACAGGAGAAAGAGGAAGGGAGAGAGAAAAUGAAUAAAUUAUAAAGCAAACAGGGCAAGUUAUGACAAGUGAAUUGGUAAAGUGUAUAAGGCUCUUCCUUGAACUAUUUUAUUUGUGCAGCUUUUUGGGAGUUUGAAAUUAAUUUCAAAUUUUAAAAAAAUGUUAGGAGGUAAACAAAACAAAAACUCUAUUUAGAUAACAAAUUUUUGAACUAAGUACAAAGUUCUAUUUGGUCUGGCACCUAGAGUUUCUACCCAGACUUGCUCAUGUCCUUUCUUUUUGCCAUCACUCCACACUUUGUCUCAGUCCUUUCCACAUAACACAUUCUUCAGCCUUCAUUCCGUUCCAGAGACAGUCUAUGCACUCUCAUCCUAGUGAGAAUUGCACAUAUUGACCAGGCUGAUUGAAAUACCCUUUCUAAUCCCUUUACUCUGUCUCCCAUUAUCUAGUUAAUUUUGAUUCAAUAUUUAGAUCACAGUUAACUUUUUUGCUUCCUUUAGAGCCUGUGAGAGACAAUACUCCCAGAUUAAAUAGAAUCUUCUUGUUACCAUCUCUUUAUGUGUCAUAUAACACUUAUAACAUUGUUAGCAUUUAUUUUUUGUGAUUACUUGAUGGAUGUCUGCCUCCUCCACUAGACCCUAUGAUUUUAAGUGUCAGAAAUAUGCCAGUAUCCAUUCACCAUUUUAUCCUCUCUGUCCAGAACAGCACCAGACACAUGGAAAGGACUCCACAAAUACUUGUUAAAUGAAUGAAUUCUGAUUCACCUGGCUCGAAAUUUCUUAAGGAAUAAUCAUAUCAUGCUUUUGCUCAGGGAGUGUGGCCACAAUAUCUGGAAAUACUGCUAAAGAAGUAAGAACACAAGUGAAGAUUGAACUUGAAGAUUAGGGAUACCCUUUUUGUAAACAGUAGAUGAAAAAGGAAUGUAUAGUCAGGGAAUGGAGACACCAUUGAAAUAGAAGAGAUUUCAACAUGCUUCAAUAUAAAAAGAAGAGUUUUCUAGAAAGGUGUGGCUCUAGAUCAGAAAUAUGAGGUCAAGGGAAAUUUAUUUCUCAUCUCACAUGGAGAAUACUAAGAAGUGUUAUAGGAAAGAGAAAAUAAACAUAUGAUGCAAC